Molecule: ribosomal RNA, 214 nt
Filed under: Acinetobacter radioresistens WC-A-157
Lineage: Bacteria; Pseudomonadati; Pseudomonadota; Gammaproteobacteria; Moraxellales; Moraxellaceae
Description: partial 16S ribosomal RNA
Rfam family: Bacterial small subunit ribosomal RNA
Source: RNAcentral
AGCGAUGUGAUGCUAAUCUCAAAAAGCCGAUCGUAGUCCGGAUUGGAGUCUGCAACUCGACUCCAUGAAGUCGGAAUCGCUAGUAAUCGCGGAUCAGAAUGCCGCGGUGAAUACGUUCCCGGGCCUUGUACACACCGCCCGUCACACCAUGGGAGUUUGUUGCACCAGAAGUAGGUAGUCUAACCGCAAGGAGGACGCUUACCACGGUGUGGCC